CUUGAAUUAUUGGUUACUACCCAAGUCUUCCAAACCGGUCAUAUAUUCCGGACAAUUGUAUAAUGUCCAGUAAAAGUCCUCCUGGGCAAAGCAUGAAUCGGUCAUCUACUUAUUAGUUUUCAAGGCUUUCUUAAGAGACGGUCAUUUUAACAUAAUUCGCGAUCUUUUUGACCAAACUUUUGCCUUUAACAGCCACACAUUUCCAGUCAUAAAAGUGACAUGAUGAUUAAUUACUAUCAAAACAACCUCUACUUCAAUACUUUCUAAUUUUAAUCAAGGCUAAUUAGUUGUUGGACAGCUGAAAUCUACCUGUUCAGGUGACAGGUAAACUAUUUUCAGUACCAGACAUUGUAAAAUUGAUCGGUCUAUUCAAAGUUAUUUUCUUACAUUCAGCUGUUUUUGUUUCUAAUUGAUUUAGUCCAAAAGAUUAAAAUUAUAAGAAAUACGUUUAUAAACAUGAUUUGAUAAAAAAGUUAAAAAGGUUUUAAAUGAAAAAUCGUCAGAACUACAUUGUAUGAACUAGAACAUGUGUGUGCGCAGGUGGGAAUUUAAUUGUGCAUCCUACAUUUCUUCUAAAAUGCUAAAAUUAUCAUUGAUACCUGUAUCUAGCGUUCAUUUCAAGUAUUUUGUUGAAGAAUUAACGUGGAAAGAGCUUCUUCACUCAGUCGUGCUUUGUAAACAUACACAGAUUUUACAUAUCCGUUUCUGGUCCAUGUUUUACCAUGAAACUUAAAACAUUAUUUUGCACAAAUAAAGAGUCUAAGGCAGAUAUGAGCACGCUGAUGUGCACACCUCGAAAAUGAUGCACUGCCAAUUUAACAGUUUACGUCAGAACAUCAAACUCAUAUUAAAGUAAAGUUUAAU
Molecule: long non-coding RNA, 864 nt
Filed under: Mytilus galloprovincialis (Mediterranean mussel)
Lineage: Eukaryota; Metazoa; Mollusca; Bivalvia; Mytilida; Mytilidae
Source: RNAcentral